GAUGAACGCUGACAGAAUGCUUAACACAUGCAAGUCAACUUGAAUUUGGGUUUUUAACUUAGAUUUGGGUGGCGGACGGGUGAGUAACGCGUAAAGAACUUGCCUCACAGCUAGGGACAACAUUUAGAAAUGAAUGCUGAUACCUGAUAUUAUGAUUUUAAGGCAUCUUAGAAUUAUGAAAGCUAUAAGCACUGUGAGAGAGCUUUGCGUCCCAUUAGCUAGUUGGAGAGGUAACAGCUCACCAAGGCGAUGAUGGGUAGCCGGCCUGAGAGGGUGAACGGCCACAAGGGGACUGAGACACGGCCCUUACUCCUACGGGAGGCAGCAGUGGGGAAUAUUGGACAAUGGACCAAGAGUCUGAUCCAGCAAUUCUGUGUGCACGAUGAAGUUUUUCGGAAUGUAAAGUGCUUUCAGUUGGGAAGAAAGAAAUGACGGUACCAACAGAAGAAGUGACGGCUAAAUACGUGCCAGCAGCCGCGGUAAUACGUAUGUCACGAGCGUUAUCCGGAUUUAUUGGGCGUAAAGCGCGUCUAGGUGGUUAUGUAAGUCUGAUGUGAAAAUGCAGGGCUCAACUCUGUAUUGCGUUGGAAACUGUAUAACUAGAGUACUGGAGAGGUAAGCGGAACUACAAGUGUAGAGGUGAAAUUCGUAGAUAUUUGUAGGAAUGCCGAUGGGGAAGCCAGCUUACUGGACAGAUACUGACGCUGAAGCGCGAAAGCGUGGGUAGCAAACAGG
RNAcentral lists this ribosomal RNA (735 nucleotides) under uncultured Fusobacterium sp. RNAcentral's name for it is "bacterial SSU rRNA". It matches the Rfam family "Bacterial small subunit ribosomal RNA", at positions 28 to 776 of the family's 1533-position model. Lineage: Bacteria; Fusobacteriati; Fusobacteriota; Fusobacteriia; Fusobacteriales; Fusobacteriaceae. The record is from RNAcentral.